This 348-nucleotide unclassified non-coding RNA is filed under the name soil metagenome. RNAcentral describes it as "partial contains 5.8S ribosomal RNA, internal transcribed spacer 2, and large subunit ribosomal RNA". The stretch from base 1 to 120 matches the Rfam family "5.8S ribosomal RNA", at positions 35 to 154 of the family's 154-position model. The record is from RNAcentral.
GAUGAAGAACGUAGCGAAAUGCGAUAAGUAAUGUGAAUUGCAGAAUUCAGUGAAUCAUCGAAUCUUUGAACGCACAUUGCGCCCGCCAGUAUUCUGGCGGGCAUGCCUGUCUGAGCGUCAUUUCAACCCUCAUGCCCCUAGGGCGUGGUGUUGGGGAUCGGCCAAAGCCCGCGAGGGACGGCCGGCCCCUAAAUCUAGUGGCGGACCCGUCGUGGCCUCCUCUGCGAAGUAGUGAUAUUCCGCAUCGGAGAGCGAUGAGCCCCUGCCGUUAAACCCCCAACUUUCCAAGGUUGACCUCAGAUCAGGUAGGAAUACCCGCUGAACUUAAGCAUAUCAACAAGCGGAGGA